CAGAAGACAAGGUAUGGAGAAGAAGAAGUAUGACAAAAUUUUCCAAUUCCUCUCAGCAGGAGAUUACCCAUCUGGGUAUAAUAACUCGCAGAAACAAUGGUUUAGAAAGUCCACUGCCAAAUAUACAAUAAACGAAGGAAAGCUGUUUGUCGGAAGUAAAAUGGUUGUAAAAUGCAAAGAAGAGGCAAGAAUAAUAUAUGAUGAAUUGCAUUCUACACCGAUGGGAGGACAUUCAGGGAUUAAAAAGACAACGAGGGAAAUAUCCUCCCGAUUUAUUUGGCCUGGAAUGACCAAAGAUAUUGAGAACUGGAUCAUGGAAUGCGCAGUGUCAGACGGUUGGAAAGCCUCUAUUAGCUCCCCAGCCGUUAAAGUGCAUUAAGGUGUCUGCUGUCUGGGAGCUGGUGGGAAUUGACCUAACAGGCCCUAUGCCAAAGACAGAAGAUGGCUUCCAAUAUAUUUUAACGGCCACAGAUUACUUCCUCUGAAGACCAAAACUGCUGCAGAGGUUGGACGUAAUCUUUGUUCAUUAAUAUACCGACAUGGUUGCCCAAAAAGAAUACUUUCUGACCAGGGCCGCGAAUUUGUAAAUCAACUGAAUGACAAAAUGUGCAGUGUUCUAGGCAUAGAACGAAGUGUGACAGCUGCCUAUCAUCCGCAAACAAACGGUCUGGAUGAGAAAACUAAUCACAAUAUUAAGAG
Long non-coding RNA from Bufo bufo (common toad), 699 nucleotides. RefSeq lists it as uncharacterized. The transcript is spliced from 6 exons. The record is from RefSeq and is a predicted model, not a curated record. Lineage: Eukaryota; Metazoa; Chordata; Amphibia; Anura; Bufonidae.